GAUGAACGCUGGCGGCGUGCUUAACACAUGCAAGUCGAACGAAGCACUUUAUUUGAUUUCCUUCGGGACUGAUUAUUUUGUGACUGAGUGGCGGACGGGUGAGUAACGCGUGGGUCACCUGCCUUGAACAGGGGGAUAUCAGUUGGAAACGGCUGCUAAUACAGCAUAAGCGCACAGCAUCGCAUGAUGCAGUGUGAAAAACUCCGGUGGUAUAAGAUGGACCCGCGUUGGAUUAGCUAGUUGGCGAGGUAACGGCCCACCAAGGCGACGAUCCAUAGCCGAGCUGAGAGGGUGACCGGCCACAUUGGGACUGAGACACGGCCCAAACUCCUACGGGAGGCAGCAGUGGGGAAUAUUGCACAAUGGGCGAAAGCCUGAUGCAGCGACGGCGCGUGAGCGAAGAAGUAUUUCGGUAUGUAAAGCUCUAUCAGCAGGGAAGAUAAUGACGGUACCUGACUAAGAAGCACCGGCUAAAUACGUG
RNAcentral lists this ribosomal RNA (481 nucleotides) under uncultured bacterium. RNAcentral's name for it is "partial 16S ribosomal RNA". It matches the Rfam family "Bacterial small subunit ribosomal RNA", at positions 28 to 507 of the family's 1533-position model. The record is from RNAcentral.